Long non-coding RNA from Olea europaea var. sylvestris, 660 nucleotides. RefSeq lists it as uncharacterized. Lineage: Eukaryota; Viridiplantae; Streptophyta; Magnoliopsida; Lamiales; Oleaceae. The transcript has 2 exons. The record is from RefSeq and is a predicted model, not a curated record.
AUUGGGCAUGGUAAAAAACUACACAUCCAUAAGCGCCCCCAUAAAAGUACGACAUACAUUCAAAAGUAGGAAGAAUCUUGGGAAAACUACUGUUUUGCAGGGUUUCCAUACAUUGAGAAUUUUGAGGAUGUUUAAGAGCUGUAGCUGCUAUAUUUCAGUCAUUUUUGUCUGGAUGCUGUCCACAAGAAUACAGGGCAAGAUGCCAGCAUCACACCGGAGUGAUCGGGUCUGGAUGUAUUACAAGGUCGUUGGUUAAAUGAAUAACCGGUUUCCUUUCAUUAUUUUAACUGGUUUUCAAUGAAACCAGAGUCAAUCCACCUCUCGUUCUCGCAAGUACUCCUCAAAAAAGAGUUCGCACAGAUCCAAUGUCUCAAAAAAUAAGGCUCAGAAACACUUGGUAAUGUUGAAAAUUGGAGCUUUUGACUUUUGAAAAAUACUCUCACUAUUUUUUAUGAAAUAGCCUUUUAGGCUUUUAGCUGAUACUUUGAAUAGGGGUCUCCAACCUUUUGUUAGCGUGGCAGCAGUGUCCACGAUUUAUCAUUUGUCCUGUCUUCAACUUUUAAAGUUUUGGCAGCGUAUUCUUAAAUAAACUAUGCUCAAUUAUUUAGUUCAGAAAUCCGUGAGCAACUAGAAAAUUCUAGUACACUCGAAGCAUUGAAA